This is a long non-coding RNA of Mya arenaria, 392 nucleotides long. RefSeq lists it as uncharacterized. The record is from RefSeq and is a predicted model, not a curated record. The transcript is spliced from 3 exons. Lineage: Eukaryota; Metazoa; Mollusca; Bivalvia; Myida; Myidae.
AGGUUGCAAAACAUGAAAGAAAAGAAUGAAACCCUAGUGCAGUUCUUGAUGUCUAAGGAAGUCAAGGAAAAAGGCCAGACAACAGUGCAGGGCACACAAUGCUUCCAAAAAUAGUAUAUGACACUUAUGAUCUUCACUGGGCUGUCACAGAGAGCCAAGAGAGCCAUACAACAUAGUGGAUUUGGUCCUAUUGAUGAUGAUGAACAGGUGUGAGGUGCACUAAGGAGGAGAUUGAGGUCAUCAUUCAUAAGGAGUUUCAGAGCUAUCGAAAGGACAUACCAAAGUGAAUCCAUUUCAUGAUUAAUGUCGUAAUUUCCCUUUUUAACGGAGAGUGAAACUCAAGGAGGAUUUAAACCAGUUAAUAGCGCCAAACCUCAUGCUUGCCGGGCACC